This 585-nucleotide long non-coding RNA is filed under the name Phaseolus vulgaris (common bean). RNAcentral's name for it is "long non-coding RNA (PVUL_LNC002514)". The record is from RNAcentral. Lineage: Eukaryota; Viridiplantae; Streptophyta; Magnoliopsida; Fabales; Fabaceae.
AGUUGAUUUUCUUGUUAGAGAGAGAGGGUAAAAGAAAAGCAAGAAAUAUCAGAUUGAAUAUUUCAAUGAUGCCAAAUAUAAAAGUCCAACACCACUUUCCUCAGAUGGGGCACAUGUACUGAUGCAGGUUUUUUAAGGUUACUUUAUGGAAUUUGAUAUUAUUUCUACCUGGAAUUGUUACCUUCCAAUGUACUAAUUUCAUUUCUAUGUUCCAUGUGAAAAGGUGUUUAUAGUGACUAAAUUUAUGCUAGUUAUGAAAAUAAUCUUAAUUACAUUACUCAGUAAAAGAAUGAAUAGGUUAAUUUUGAAUUUUCUUAAAAUUUAAGUUUUUUUUUUAAUAAGCUAAAAUACGUAGCAAUAUAAAAGGAAAAGGUUUGAUAUUAGGUUAAUUUAAUAAAGUUAUUACCUGAGGUUCACCAAUCCAUUUGAAUGGUAGGGAAGAGAGACCAACUUCUUGUUCAUGUGAGCUGGUGUGCCACAAAUCACUUAGAAGAAGGUUGAACUCAUCAUCAUAGUGAAACGGUUCGUUUUGUCCCUUUGGCAAAUCUACUAUCAGUGAACCAUACAACCCUGCUGAUCUUUGCA